GAGGAAAGUCCGGGCUCUAUUUAUAGUAGUUUAGUUGUAUAAAAUGCAGUGUAGGUGACUAUGAGGAUCGUGCCACAGAAAUAUACCGCCUAUAUUUAGGUAAGGGUGCAAUGGUGCGUUAAGAGCGUACCAGAAAUAUUGUUAAGAUAUUUGCUAGGUAAACCCCGUAUUGGAGCAAAGUGAUAAGUUAAUAGCAAAAGUUUGUCUAUAAAUUUUGUUUAUUGCAAUAUAUAAAACAUAAAACUAGCUUAUUUAGAUACUGCUUAAAGUAAUUUUAUACUUUAGAUUAAUAAUUACCCUUUUUGAAUUGCAGUAGCAAAAAAUUGUUUAUUUCAUUAAAGAACAAAACCCGGCUUAU
RNAcentral lists this RNase P RNA (358 nucleotides) under Cliftonaea pectinata. RNAcentral describes it as "rnpB". The stretch from base 2 to 175 matches the Rfam family "Bacterial RNase P class A", at positions 44 to 222 of the family's 367-position model. The record is from RNAcentral. Lineage: Eukaryota; Rhodophyta; Florideophyceae; Ceramiales; Rhodomelaceae.